AGUGAACGCUGGCGGUAGGCCUAACACAUGCAAGUCGAACGGCAGCACAGUAAGAGCUUGCUCUUACGGGUGGCGAGUGGCGGACGGGUGAGGAAUACAUCGGAAUCUACUUUUUCGUGGGGGAUAACGUAGGGAAACUUACGCUAAUACCGCAUACGACCUACGGGUGAAAGCAGGGGAUCUUCGGACCUUGCGCGAUUGAAUGAGCCGAUGUCGGAUUAGCUAGUUGGCGGGGUAAAGGCCCACCAAGGCGACGAUCCGUAGCUGGUCUGAGAGGAUGAUCAGCCACACUGGAACUGAGACACGGUCCAGACUCCUACGGGAGGCGGCAGUGGGGAAUAUUGGACAAUGGGCGCAAGCCUGAUCCAGCCAUACCGCGUGGGUGAAGAAGGCCUUCGGGUUGUAAAGCCCUUUUGUUGGGAAAGAAAAGCAGCAGGUUAAUAUCCCGCUGUUCUGACGGUACCCAAAGAAUAAGCACCGGCUAACUUCGUG
RNAcentral lists this ribosomal RNA (492 nucleotides) under uncultured bacterium. RNAcentral's name for it is "partial 16S ribosomal RNA". It matches the Rfam family "Bacterial small subunit ribosomal RNA", at positions 29 to 507 of the family's 1533-position model. The record is from RNAcentral.